Molecule: long non-coding RNA, 2644 nt
Organism: Dermochelys coriacea (leatherback sea turtle)
Lineage: Eukaryota; Metazoa; Chordata; Testudines; Dermochelyidae
Exons: 3
Source: RefSeq, a predicted model, not a curated record
GAGCUCUGUAAAACAUUCAAAAAGUAGUAACAUUUACUUUUGGUCUAGUUUAACACCACAGAACAAGAAACAAGUUAGACUAGCACUAUUUGAUUAAAAGUUCAUGUUUCAAAAUUUUAAACAAAAAUAGAUGUUUAAAUAUAGCAAUUAUUACGAGGUGACUGGUGCAUAUACUGUGUGUUAUGAAAUCUGAUGCACAACCUGGUACAUCUGAAUGCUAGCAGAAAAUCGUUCUGUAAAAUUAAACAUUCACUUUACAAGGAAGGACUGAAAUAUUUUUAUGAAAUCCAAUGUUAGGGAUGCUUACACUAUAUAUUCUCCCACUUUGAAACAAGUUAAUGGAAGACAGGAGAAAAAAUCAUGAUGUUAUUCUGUGCUAAUUAUAAUAUCUACAGCAGACCUCUCUUUCCUCCUCCAACUCACCAAGAGCUCACACACCCCUGCAGUAACGUAGUUGCUGGUCCAAUGAUAAUUUUAAACUCACUUUCCGUCAUAGAAAAAUGAAUUUCUAUUUAAUCGUCCCAAUUCAGUUUUUAUAACAGAAAACAAGGUAAGACUUUAUGACAAAUGGCUACUAAAAAAGCUAAGCUAAAGUUUUUUGUUUUUUUACAGGUGGCAAUGAAAUUUUUUGUUCUGGAGUCCCUCGCCUCCCUUAGGCUGUGAGUUCUACAAGCCAUCUCCUGGGUCUUUCAUUCAUCUUUACCUCAGACAGCUGGUCUCUUUCAGCCUCUUACCCACAUUUGACAUCUGCAACAGAGGAUACCGGCCAAUAGCCUGGUGGCACCCCCACUACACUGUCUGGUAUCUGCUGCCUCCAAUCUCAAAAUUCUCCUCACUAUGUAUUGGUCCCUCUGCUUGAUAAUCAUACUCAGUCUUCCAAAAACAUUACAGCCAUUAGAGAAUAUUUGACUGAAUCCCUAGAUUUUUACACUAAUAAAAACUAAGCUCACCUGAAUGCUGUUUGUUAGUCUUUUUAUCCGUUUUUUCAGUUCUUCAUUUUCAUUUUCCAUUUCUUCUUUUUCUCUUAGCCCUUUAGUAAUGGCUUUUUGCUUUUUUUGAAGUUCUUGAUUUAAAUCAUCCAUCUCAUCUAAUAAAGAGCGCUCUCUAGUUUUACUUAGUUUAAGGGCAUCUUUGAAUUUUGUAAGUUGCUCAUUUAAUUCCUCUAUAUGAAUCUAUAAAAAUAAAUUUAAAAAAAAAGUGUUUUUCAGGGUUGCCAACUAAUUAAAACAUAUUGAGGUUAACUGGGUAUAUUUCCUGGAUUCCACAAACAUUUCUCAAAUCAGUUAUUUCAUAUAUUAUCAACUAUAUUUAAGUAAUCUGUAAAGUAAAGUAAAAUAUGUUUAAAUAAUCACUUAGAAGAUAAUUUGUAAAUUCCUAUAAAUCUGUUGAUAUGUUUAAGUAGCAAAAAGUCAGUCUGAAAAACAUUUUUUAAGUUUAAAUUUAAAUAAGUAAAACAAAACCAAAAUAAUCAACUUUUGGGGAGGUUUUUUUUAAAUGGCAAAACCAAAUUUAUUUUCUGUGUUAAAAAAAAAGCUGCCUUAGGUUGAAUCUUUAUAUAUCAAGUUUAAGUCUGGUGCAAGUGUUCUAUGCGUAAAUUUUAAAAUUCUGAAGAAAAAAUGUAGGCUAAAUAGCGGUACUGCAUGUACUUAUACAUUUCGUUUGAUUAUUUGUUUUAAUAUUUAAAAACAAAUGUACACAGUGGGCCCUACCCAACUCCCAAUAAAGUCAAUAGAAAGACUAUUACUGACUUCACUGCGAGUUGUGUCAAACCAUAUAACAGUACAACAUUCAUUAUUAUAAUACUCAAAAUGAAAUUAUAAACAUUGUGUUCUCUUUUUAAAUAAGAAUACAAUGUAGAACACAGUAUAAGGAGGGUAAUUAGUGCUUACCGUGAGCUCCUUUGUUUGUUUGUCAACAAUCUGCUGAACAUUCAUGUAUGCCUCUUUUUGUGAUGCUACAGAAAUAAUCUGCUGUUCAGCAUUAGCAGUCAUUUCUGCUCGGAGCUCCAGAAGUGCUUUACUCAAAGCCUGAAAAUAUCAACAAAUUCAUUUGGAAAGUAAGCAAAAUGGUAAGUUCUGAAAAUGAAUGUUAAAAAAUUGCUAAAGGGAAUUAAAUUUUACUACCUUUUAUGUUAAAUUACCCAUCUGUAUUCCAUACUAACAGCACAAUUCAUAUCAUCUUUUGGUCUGUUUCCAUAUGAUUUACAAUGAUAAGCCAGAUUCACUGGUAUGGUCUGACUGCUUUACAAUACACUGGCAACACAAAAAUCACUAUAAAUGCAGCUUAGUUGGCUAGUUAAACUAAGUUUAAGGCUGUUUUGCAUCGCCAGAGUAGCACAAAGCAGCUUAAGUAUAUCAGUGAAUCUGGCUCCACAAAUUAUAGAGAAGUUAAAUUCUAUACCAAAUUUCAGUAAUUUUCUGGUCCUUUUUCUACAACAGGCUAUACAACCCUAAUGAAUCUCCACAAAAGGGCAUCUUUCAGGUAUUCUUUGUCCAUCUAUUAAACCCAAUAGUGGCACUUCUGAAAAAAAGUUGUGGAAAUGUUUGCUAUACAUAAUUUUUAUAGUUAUUUGGUUUUACAUCAACUUCUUGUCUUCAUGAUAGAUGCUAAAUAAUAAAAUAAUUUUAAAAAUACUUACUUUCUG